UGUUGUUUUGUGUUACGGGCGUAUGGUGGAUGCCUUGGCAUGCUGGGCCGAUGAAGGACGUGUGAGGCUGCGUUAAGCCUCGGGGAGUUGCCAACUAAGCGUUGAUCCGAGGAU
This 114-nucleotide ribosomal RNA is filed under the name Corynebacterium lujinxingii. Its description in RNAcentral is "partial 23S ribosomal RNA". It matches the Rfam family "Bacterial large subunit ribosomal RNA", at positions 1 to 111 of the family's 2925-position model. The record is from RNAcentral. Lineage: Bacteria; Bacillati; Actinomycetota; Actinomycetes; Mycobacteriales; Corynebacteriaceae.